RNAcentral lists this long non-coding RNA (1127 nucleotides) under Homo sapiens (human). RNAcentral describes it as "HSALNT0114329". Lineage: Eukaryota; Metazoa; Chordata; Mammalia; Primates; Hominidae. The record is from RNAcentral.
GGCUAGGGCUGGCUAAAAUGCUACCUCUGUGGUGCACAGAAACGCGCCCCUUGCACCAUACUGUGGCUGACAGGGGAUGGGGAAUGGGGGGAUGAUCAUAAUUCAAGACUUUUUUCUGCCUCUUCAGUGCUUCUUUCAGCGAUAUGAAGUUAAAACCAGCUCACCUGAUUGAGUGCUCACCUGAUUUUGGUUUUUAUGAAGGUGCUUUGUGUGUGUGUGUGCGCGCGCAUGUGUGUAUGUGUGUGUAGAUAGUUGUUACGUUGUUGUCCUUGCCCAGGGGGUUGUUGUGGGGAACGACUGGUGGAGCCUUCUAUUCUGCCGUCUUGCUCCACUAAUAAAGUAGAGCUUUUAACUUGUUUAUUGACCAUUGGAUAUCCCCACCAACAAUGUUUCUGUUCAACUCCCUUGACAUUUUUCCAUUUGCUUGGAUAAUUUUGUCUUAGUUGAAAUUUAUUGUAAAAGCAGGAUAUGAAUAUAUUUUCCCAUUAUGUACCUUGUUUUGCAUUUUGAGAUUCUUAAUUUAUGUAUUAUUAGUUAAAAGAGAAAUCAAUGUUUUAAUUUUUUCUUUAUUACUAAUUCUUUCUUUGUCCUGUUUAUGUGGCAAUGCACUUAUCCUGUUUGCAUGACACAUUCUUGGUUCAUGCCUCAGCAUAUUUGUUAAUAGCUCCUCCCUUUCUCUGUCAAAACUUGUUCCAGAUAGAACGUUGAAUUGCAUAGUCAUACUAUGUUUAAUACAUUUUUACCUUGAGUAUAAUGAUUUUUUCUUAUAUUAUUGUCUAAAAGAUGUGUCGUUUUCUCUUUUAUAUUUAUGUAAAAAUCCAUUUAGAAAAGUUUUUGUUUAUGUGAUAAGAAAAAGUAAAUUUACGUUAUUUUCUUCCACGGUUAAACAAUUGAUACAAUAUUAUUUAUUGAAAAUAUUAUCCUUUAUCUUUAUCCUUAUGCCACUUCAAUACAUUGCCAUAUGUUUAGUAAAUAAACUAAUCAGAAUAUUCUCAAGUCUAUUUCUGAUCUAUCCUGGUCCAUUGGUCUUUUUAUAUAUAUCCUAUAUAUCCUGAGUCAAUGCCAUGCUAUUUUAUUUAAUAUAGCUUUAUGAUGAGCUUUCAUAUCCAGGAAAGCAACAUUUUCCA